CAUGGUCUGACAUAUCAUCAUCUCUCCAUUCAGUUCUCCAAACUUACCUCAAUCCUUCCCAGAUGUUUGGGUUUUAUGGAGGCAUUCUCAUCACGUUCGAUCACUGUCCCCUGCUCUCGAAUGCUUGUUUAUAACCGCAGUGUGGAGCCUCUGGAAAGAGAGGAACACAAGAGUCUUUCAUUUUAUCGCCAUCAUGCCUUCUGUAACAACUAG
RNAcentral lists this long non-coding RNA (213 nucleotides) under Elaeis guineensis (African oil palm). Its description in RNAcentral is "long non-coding RNA (EGUI_LNC074017)". The record is from RNAcentral. Lineage: Eukaryota; Viridiplantae; Streptophyta; Magnoliopsida; Arecales; Arecaceae.